AUAUCAAUAAGCGGAGGAAAAGAAACUAACAAGGAUUCCCCUAGUAACGGCGAGUGAAGCGGGAAGAGCUCAAAUUUGAAAUCUGGCAGUCUUCGAUUGUCCGAGUUGUAAUCUAUAGAGGCGUUUUCCGUGCCGGACCGUGUCCAAGUCUCCUGGAAAGGAGUAUCAAAGAGGGUGAUAAUCCCGUACUUAACACGACCACCGGUGCUCUGUGAUACGUCUUCUACGAGUCGAGUUGUUUGGGAAUGCAGCUCAAAAUGGGUGGUGAAUUCCAUCUAAAGCUAAAUAUUGGCGAGAGACCGAUAGCGAACAAGUACCGUGAGGGAAAGAUGAAAAGCACUUUGGAAAGAGAGUUAAACAGUACGUGAAAUUGUUGAAAGGGAAACGAUUGAAGUCAGUCGUGUUCUUUGGAUUCAGCCAGUUCUGCUGGUCUACUUCCUUGGAACGGGUCAACAUCAGUUUUGUCCGGUGGAUAAAGGUAGUAGGAAUGUGACUUCUCCGGAAGUGUUAUAGCCUAUUAUCACAUACACUGGGUGAGACUGAGGACUGCAGCUCGCCUUUAUGGCCGGCCUUCGGGCACGUUCGAGCUUAGGAUGUUGACAUAAUGGCUUUAAACGACCCGUCUUGAAACACGGACC
RNAcentral lists this ribosomal RNA (638 nucleotides) under Trichophyton sp. RNAcentral's name for it is "eukaryotic LSU rRNA". It matches the Rfam family "Eukaryotic large subunit ribosomal RNA", at positions 40 to 667 of the family's 3401-position model. Lineage: Eukaryota; Fungi; Ascomycota; Eurotiomycetes; Onygenales; Arthrodermataceae. The record is from RNAcentral.